UUUUCUUGGAGUCCUGAAAUUUUAACUUAAACCAUUGCAUGUGGCCCUACUCAUUGGAUUUAGGAAAGAAAUUGGAAAGGCAAGUGUAGUUGUGCAAGGAACCAGCUAUUGUGCUGGACUAUAACAAACAUAGUGGAGAGAAAGAAGCACCAGCAUAGAAGAAAUUGGAUGAGAAAGAAGCUAUUGCAGCAGUGUCAAAAGCAGAGAAUGGAAAGUCAUGAAGGAGCAAAGCGACAAUCUCUGAAAUUUAAGACAGAGGGAAAAAGAAUACUGCCGACUGACGUAAGAAAAACUUGUGUGAGCUUGUCUACUCAGAGAUUUCUGUUUGGGCAGAAAGGCUGAGGAGUCUUCCAUCCAACUCAGAAGCCACAAAGUAGGAUCCUUUUUCCCUUUCAAGACACUAAGAGAUGGAAGACACAGAACUUCUGGCUUCCACUGAUCUAUUUCCCACGAGUAUAAAAUGAACAAUCAAUAAGAACAGACUGAACUCUUACUACCUUUAGACCACUGUUUACUGCUAGGAAACUGACUCCCGGCCUCACGAAACAUAAAGCCUCAUAAGUAAAACAAAAUCACCAUGUUAUAUCAUUGUUGAACAUUGAAUGCUGGAAUUGGAAGUGAGAGAAAUGGAAGCUGAAUCCCAUCUCUGAUACCUAAGAAGUAACUGUGGGCAAGUCAUUUAACCUCGAAAGACUUCAGUUUUCUCACAUGAAAACUGGGACAAUAAUACCAGGAGCUCUUGCAUCAUAGGACUAUUAAAAGAAUCCAAUGAGAAGAUGUAUAUAAAAUCACAUUAAAGUGCUAUAUCCAUGUAUUUCAUGAGGUCUAAUUGGAGUUGGGUACCAAGAAAAAAGAAAUCA
This is a non-coding RNA of Phascolarctos cinereus (koala), 860 nucleotides long. Lineage: Eukaryota; Metazoa; Chordata; Mammalia; Diprotodontia; Phascolarctidae. The record is from RefSeq and is a predicted model, not a curated record.